Molecule: ribosomal RNA, 446 nt
Filed under: uncultured bacterium
Lineage: Bacteria
Description: bacterial SSU rRNA
Rfam family: Bacterial small subunit ribosomal RNA
Source: RNAcentral
CCCAGACUCCUACGGGAGGCAGCAGUGGGGAAUAUUGCACAAUGGGGGAAACCCUGAUGCAGCGACGCCGCGUGAGCGAUGAAGUAUUUCGGUAUGUAAAGCUCUAUCAGCAGGGAAGAAAAUGACGGUACCUGACUAAGAAGCCCCGGCUAACUACGUGCCAGCAGCCGCGGUAAUACGUAGGGGGCAAGCGUUAUCCGGAUUUACUGGGUGUAAAGGGAGCGUAGACGGUUCUGCAAGCCAGAUGUGAAAGCCCGGGGCUCAACCCCGGGACUGCAUUUGGAACUGUAAGGCUAGAGUGUCGGAGAGGCAGGCGGAAUUCCUAGUGUAGCGGUGAAAUGCGUAGAUAUUAGGAGGAACACCGGCGGCGAAGGCGGCCUGCUGGACCGAAACUGACGUUGAGGCUCGAAAGCGUGGGGAGCAAACAGGAUUAGAUACCCUCGUAA